GGAGCUUGCCUCAUAACACUGAACAUCAAAAAUGCAUCAGAGGCUCAUCUUCCCACAUAAUCAAGAAUUUGCUCACUGUUUGUACUACAGCCAGGCAGAAGUUGGAGAUGCCAUCAACAAAGGAGAUGCCAUCAACAAAGCCAUCAACAAAGACUGAGAAACGACAGAGAAACAGUCCAUUCCACCAUGCCUUGUCCUCAGUCUGUCAGGAAUAGUGAGAGAGAGCAAGGCUAACAAGGAAAGUGCACUGGGUCACUGCCAUUGCAUGGGAAGAUCACAGAUGGAAAGAUAUAUACUGAAAUCGUCGGCUGCUCCAUUCAGCCACCCCUCCUGGCCGGCGUCUCUGUGGGCAGAGAAGGCAUCAGCGCUUCUGUGCAGCCUGAAAUAAAUGAUGAGAGAAGUGCCAUCAUCCGACUGACAGCCUGCCUGCUGGAUGCUCAUACAAGAAGCCUUUCUUUUCCAUUUCGUCAAUUCUUCUUUGGUACAAAACAAAAAUCAGUCAUGACUCACUACAAAUUUACAACUUUCCCAAUUUGGAAGUCCAGCUUUUAAGCCCCCUUUCAACAUGCUGUCCUAACUCGGGCCUCAGGUCUGGAGCACAGAAUCCCUCCCCGUGGUCUAUCAACACAGCCAAGAGACGGUCUGUCCGAAGCCAGAGCUACAGCCACCCCCGAGAAGAGUUUCUCUCCAUUAGAAUUUGUAGUCAAAGGCCCCAGCGUGUUCCGGUUCUGGAAUCUCAUUUCAUUUCUGCCGUGCACUUUGCAGGCUGUGGAGAAACCUGGCCGUCCCCACCUGAAGCAAGAGAUCAAAGUUCACAUCACUGAUACUGGAACCAAGAGAGAUCGCGUGCCUCCUGAUAUGAUGCUCUGAGAAGGACAUGACUUCCCUUCCUUGAUAUUCUUGCCAAAAAUGCAUAACCUGGAUUUAAAUCACAAGGAAUCAUCACAUAAACCCAAAUUAAGAACAUUCUAGAAGAUAACUGGCCAGUACUUUUCAAAAGUGAAAAGGUCAUGAGAGACAAAUUAAAACUGAAGAAUUAUUCCAGAUGAAAGGAGACCAAGGAGACACGACAAUUGAAUGCAAUGUGUCUUCCUGGACUGGAUCCUGGGCCUAAAAAAGGGCAUUAGUGGAAAAACUGGCAAAAUUUUGAAUUAAGUCUACAGAUUAGAUAAUAGUAUUGUAUCAAUGUUAAUUUCCUAGUUCUGCUCAUUGUAUUCUAGGUUGUAUAAAAUGUCAACAUUUAGGCGAAUCUGGGUGAAGGGUGUA
Molecule: long non-coding RNA, 1266 nt
Organism: Equus caballus (horse)
Lineage: Eukaryota; Metazoa; Chordata; Mammalia; Perissodactyla; Equidae
Source: Ensembl